UACCUUUUGUAUAAUGGGUCAGCGACUUAUAUUCUGUAGCAAGGUUAACCGAAUAGGGGAGCCGGAGGGAAACCGAGUCUUAAUUGGGCGUUAAGUUGCAGGGUAUAGACCCGAAACCCGGUGAUCUAGCCAUGGGCAGGUUGAAGGUUGGGUAACACUAACUGGAGGACCGAACCGACUAAUGUUGAAAAAUUAGCGGAUGACCUGUGGCUGGGGGUGAAAGGCCAAUCAAACCGGGAGAUAGCUGGUUCUCCCCGAAAGCUAUUUAGGUAGCGCCUCGUGAAUUCAUCUCCGGGGGUAGAGCACUGUUUCGGCUAGGGGGCCAUCCCGGCUUACCAACCCGAUGCAAACUGCGAAUACCGGAGAAUGUUAUCACGGGAGACACACGGCGGGUGCUAACGUCCGUCGUGAAGAGGGAAACAACCCAGACCGCCAGCUAAGGUCCCAAAGUCAUGGUUAAGUGGGAAACGAUGUGGGAAGGCCCAGACAGCCAGGAUGUUGGCUUAGAAGCAGCCAUCAUUUAAAGAAAGCGUAAUAGCUCACUGGUCGAGUCGGCCUGCGCGGAAGAUGUAACGGGGCUAAACCAUGCACCGAAGCUGCGGCAGCGACGCUGAUGCGUUGUUGGGUAGGGGAGCGUUCUGUAAGCCUGCGAAGGUGGCCUGUGAGGGUUGCUGGAGGUAUCAGAAGUGCGAAUGCUGACAUAAGUAACGAUAAAGCGGGUGAAAAGCCCGCUCGCCGGAAGACCAAGGGUUCCUGUCCAACGUUAAUCGGGGCAGGGUGAGUCGACCCCUAAGGCGAGGCCGAAAGGCGUAGUCGAUGGGAAACGGGUUAAUAUUCCCGUACUUGGUGUUACUGCGAAGGGGGGACGGAGAAGGCUAUGUUGGCCGGGCGACGGUUGUCCCGGUUUAAGCGUGUAGGUGUGUGUUCCAGGUAAAUCCGGUUCACUUUAACACUGAGGCGUGAUGACGAGGCACUACGGUGCUGAAGCAACAAAUGCCCUGCUUCCAGGAAAAGCCUCUAAGCAUCAGGUAACAUCAAAUCGUACCCCAAACCGACACAGGUGGUCAGGUAGAGAAUACCAAGGCGCUUGAGAGAACUCGGGUGAAGGAACUAGGCAAAAUGGUGCCGUAACU
This 1133-nucleotide ribosomal RNA is filed under the name Salmonella enterica subsp. enterica serovar Bredeney. RNAcentral describes it as "partial 23S ribosomal RNA". It matches the Rfam family "Bacterial large subunit ribosomal RNA", at positions 602 to 1735 of the family's 2925-position model. The record is from RNAcentral. Lineage: Bacteria; Pseudomonadati; Pseudomonadota; Gammaproteobacteria; Enterobacterales; Enterobacteriaceae.